RNAcentral lists this unclassified non-coding RNA (213 nucleotides) under Hevea brasiliensis (rubber tree). The record is from RNAcentral. Lineage: Eukaryota; Viridiplantae; Streptophyta; Magnoliopsida; Malpighiales; Euphorbiaceae.
GUGUGGUUAAGUGGUUUAAUGUCCGAGAUUUAGAGGUUAAAGGUCCUACAAGUGUACAAAGCAUGCCUUUCCUUUUCACUGGCUGCAUUUAUAUCUUGUCUCAUGUGGCUUGAUAUUCAUUCUAAUCUCAGUUACAAUGAGGAAACAUUUGUUAAUUCUUCCUACUUAUUUUAGCCAUGUCUGUAUUUGUCCGUGUGCAUGUGUGUUUUUGUU